CUAAAGCUAUAGGUCCUGAUAUUGAUGUAUCACCAACUUUAUCUAUCUUGCGUAGCACUGCAUUGCUGUAAGAAAACACCAGAAGAUUCAUAACAAAUGGUUAGAGAAAGAAUGUAACUCAUUUUCCUAAAAAUAAAUAGAAGCCUACUUCAUGUGUCGAGAAUGUUGAGAGAGAGAGAAAGAUCUUGCGGCACUGUAUCUACGACCAGAACUGUCGAAUGUCGAACCACCCAUCUUGGUUGAUGAAACUCCUUUUAAGUAAUUCAGAUCCGUAUUAUAACCUAAAAGACCUUUAUCUUCUAUUUUAUUUCUACAAAAUUUCAAAUUUUGAUCUUCCGUCCUAAAAAUUAGAGUAGAGGAGCGGAGUUAUAUAACUAUGCAGUCAUGACCACAACAUGCAACUAAUAAGGAAGUCUCAACAAAUUUUAAAGUCUUCGGCCUCCCAAAAAAACACGGGCUUGAAAUUUAUGGGUCAACCUGNNNNN
Molecule: long non-coding RNA, 485 nt
Filed under: Olea europaea (common olive)
Lineage: Eukaryota; Viridiplantae; Streptophyta; Magnoliopsida; Lamiales; Oleaceae
Description: long non-coding RNA (OEUR_LNC003904)
Source: RNAcentral